RNAcentral lists this small RNA (28 nucleotides) under Bombyx mori (domestic silkworm). Its description in RNAcentral is "ovarian small RNA-22187". Lineage: Eukaryota; Metazoa; Arthropoda; Insecta; Lepidoptera; Bombycidae. The record is from RNAcentral.
UAGAUUUCGUAAGUGUCGCAGGAAUUGU